CUUUUCCAUUGAGCCGAUGUAAUCUAUUACAUACUUUGUCACACUUCCAAUGGACACUACCCAUUUCCAGUAAAUUAACUCAGGGUUACAAGUUUUGCUCAAGGGCACAUUGACAGUGGGCCUCGUUGUUGGUUCAUCGAGGCAAAUGGUUCACUUUCCCCGCCCCAAGAGGUGACUGCUGGCUGAAUAAUGUAUUUUUGUCCCUGCGCCAGCCUCCUAGAAACAGCCUAAGUUACAGCACACAACAAAAGCCCACAUUUCACCUGCGUGCCUUACUGCUGGGACACCUGUAGCCACGACACCCAUCGCUUAACGCGUUUUUUUUUUUUUGGAGGAAGAACGCAUGAUGCGCUAUUACGCACGGGACUAAAGGAAUUCGACGAGCAGCCUGUCUUUUUUGUCACUCCUCCAGGGGAUACGCUGUCCAUAGUUUUGGAGUCCUCUCCAUUUAUAGAGACGAUAUCUAUGCACGACGUCAUCAGCGCAGUUACAGCCUCUCCUCACCUGUCAACUCUGAAGUUCACCGCACAGUCCUCUAUGUGCACAGGACAGGAUGGGAUGCUCCACAAGUUCCCAAACUUCCGCGGUAGAAAGCAAUCCACCCGUCCAUAAACAAGACGAGAGCAACGGAGCCAGCACAACAGGAGCAGCCAAUGAGAAUGGGAAAGUAGCCGAGGACAGCGAAACCAUUCCGGACCAGACACCUGCUCAGGGCGGCGAUGCUAAACCAGCAGACGAACCCGCUGCAGCUGCAACGUCUGCAGACAACACCGCUGCAGCUCCACCUGCAGCUGAGGAAGCUCCGCCUGCUGCAGACAGUCCGCCUGCAGAGGCAGCAGCACCUGUGGAGGCUUCGGCAGCAGCACCUGCAGAGGCUUCGGCAGCAGCACCUGCAGAGGCUUCGGCGGCAGCUGAAAGCAGCGCAGAGCCUGCAGCUGAAGCUCCUGAGCAAGGUAGGGUGGAGACAUGAGGAGGACUGUGACAGGCCGGGGACAACAGUGAUUUUAUUCAGUACUUUUUACUCCACUACAUUUAUUUUUAAAACAUUAGUUAGAAGUUUAUUUGCAGUUACUUCUUUAAAUCAGCAAAUAAAAUAUGAUAUAUUAUUAUAGGUUAAGCUACACAGCGGUAUAUACAAUGACACGAAUAAGCUCCAACUUUACCAGCUGCAACUUUGAAAUUAUUCAAUGUAAUUCAGUGAUAUACAAGAUCCUCUCAUAAGCAGUACUUUUAUUUUGGGACUUAAAGUAGUUGUUGACGCUAAUACUUGUGCACCUUUACUUUUAAGUAGAUAAGUAUUUAGGAUUUUGAAUGCAGCACUGUCACCAUUUCAAAUCACCACUGUCACCAGUUUUAAUCAAGUAAAUGAUCUGACUAACCUGACAGGUGCACAUGAUAAAAGGAUGGAAAGUAAAGUAAAAUCAGCAAUCAGAAUCAGAAAUACUCUAUCUCAAUCACUG
RNAcentral lists this long non-coding RNA (1460 nucleotides) under Sparus aurata (gilthead seabream). RNAcentral's name for it is "lncRNA (ENSSAUG00010003316.1)". Lineage: Eukaryota; Metazoa; Chordata; Actinopteri; Spariformes; Sparidae. The record is from RNAcentral.